Molecule: unclassified non-coding RNA, 285 nt
Filed under: Hevea brasiliensis (rubber tree)
Lineage: Eukaryota; Viridiplantae; Streptophyta; Magnoliopsida; Malpighiales; Euphorbiaceae
Source: RNAcentral
GUUCAAAAGGGAUAAAUCACUAAGCCAUGCUUUAAGCAAAUAGAAUUAAGUGUUUUAACGUAAUUAAACAGCAUAUAAAUUUAGAAGAAGAAUUAUCAAUAGAAAGCUAAUAGCAUGACAACUGCUAGAAUCCUUGCACUAAUGUGAAUAACUACAAGUUUACAACCCCCUCACUCACUUUGCCAACAAUUUAUAACAAUUAAAGAUUAUGUUAUAUAUAUACACACAGUAAUAUUACUAUAUUUUUGGUCAUUUAAUUGCCCUAAGGCCUCAUUAUGGCUGGUU